AAUAAAUAUCAUCAUUGCAACAUUUAAAACAAGCAAAGAGCUCCUCAAGGCAAUAACUGGGAAGGUGUCCCACAAUGUAAUAGUACCUUGGUCAAUGUCUCAGCUGAACCUACCCAAAUAAUACAUGCAGGGUAAUUGAGUAGAGGCAGCAGGAUGAGUGAAAGAAUCUUUUAUAACCAGUAACUUGGUAUUCUGAAUUUGGCUCCUCACCCGGAAUGCCUUUGUCUUCUCAACAACAGUAAGGAAAUAGGGAUAUAUUUCCUGCCCACCAAUAUACACAGUUCAACAGUAAUUUUUUUUUUUAAACAAAAAUAUAUUUACAUGAAAUAAAGUUAUAAGCCCAAGCCCAUGGAAGAUAAGUUUGCUAUGAUCACUUCAAGCCAAGCCCAAAUCCAAUAGAUAGGAACCCUUGAGGUGAAAUGAGUACAACCCGAGAUUCGUCUUCAAUUCUUCAUCAGCAAUCGUCACCACCUUUUCUUCAACAGCAGCUUGCAACUGGUUAUUAAGAGUGGAUUGUCAAUAAUUCAAUCAAGCAAGGGAAAACGACACAGGAUUGCUUAAACACUCCGCUCAAAUCAAAGUCGCAUUGCUAAACGCCUUCAAAGCUAAAGAAAUAGAGAAUAUUUGUAGCAAAUACUAGAAAUGCAUAGAUAAGGACUAAUUUCGAACAAGCCAAGAAAGAGGCUUGGCAAAUACGACUAUACGAGCCUUUCAUACUUUCCUUAAAGGAAAAAGUGACUGACUCGGCACCAUUCCUCUGAGACCGCUAGUUGAACAGCUCCUAAAAGCUUCAAUCAACUUGUAAAGGAGGGCAGUUGCAGCGUGCAAGCAACCUUACUGAACACUAACCAAAAACCCUAUCCACAA
This 867-nucleotide unclassified non-coding RNA is filed under the name Hevea brasiliensis (rubber tree). The record is from RNAcentral. Lineage: Eukaryota; Viridiplantae; Streptophyta; Magnoliopsida; Malpighiales; Euphorbiaceae.